UGAACACUGCUAGAGAAGAGGAACAGUGACCUGACUGCACGAAAGACUCAAGCAGAAGCCUAAUUUGCCUCAAGAUUUGUGAUGUGAAUCAAGGUUUAAACCAGUUUCUGAUCACUUAAACUGGUUUGUGUCUAAUGUCCUUCCCUAGCCUUGAUGUCUGCACAAGCAAGUUCCUGAAGAAUCCAGUCUGACUACCAUUCUUCUAGUCAAGUGCAAACGUCUUUGAAGAUUUCAGGGUUUUCUUGUUUCAGGAGGGCUUGGUCCUUUCAGCGCUUCCAACAUCUUCUUUCGAUCUUAUGAAUGAUGCUGCAUUGAAAAGCUUAGAGUGAACCAAAAUUUUAGCAACACCAACAGAAUGAUAUUAACAACAAACAUACACGCUUCCCACUUGACAGUUUCCUAAAAGGAAAGGAGUUCGGUGCACAGGUGGUAUUCUCUUCCAUCCUACCAGUGAACGGACGCAGAAGACGGCAUGAGAACUGCAUCAGAGAGACCAACUGG
This is a long non-coding RNA of Alligator sinensis (Chinese alligator), 501 nucleotides long. RefSeq lists it as uncharacterized. NCBI's taxonomy places the organism in Eukaryota, Metazoa, Chordata, Crocodylia, Alligatoridae. The record is from RefSeq and is a predicted model, not a curated record. The transcript is spliced from 4 exons.